GACGAACGCUGGCGGCGUGCUUAACACAUGCAAGUCGAACGGAAAGGCCCUGCUUUUGUGGGGUGCUCGAGUGGCGAACGGGUGAGUAACACGUGAGUAACCUGCCCUUGACUUUGGGAUAACUUCAGGAAACUGGGGCUAAUACCGGAUAGGAGCUCCUACUGCAUGGUGGGGGUUGGAAAGUUUCGGCGGUUGGGGAUGGACUCGCGGCUUAUCAGCUUGUUGGUGGGGUAGUGGCUUACCAAGGCUUUGACGGGUAGCCGGCCUGAGAGGGUGACCGGCCACAUUGGGACUGAGAUACGGCCCAGACUCCUACGGGAGGCAGCAGUGGGGAAUAUUGCACAAUGGGCGGAAGCCUGAUGCAGCAACGCCGCGUGCGGGAUGACGGCCUUCGGGUUGUAAACCGCUUUCGCCUGUGACGAAGCGUGAGUGACGGUAAUGGGUAAAGAAGCACCGGCUAACUACGUGCCAGCAGCCGCGGUGAUACGUAGGGUGCGAGCGUUGUCCGGAUUUAUUGGGCGUAAAGGGCUCGUAGGUGGUUGAUCGCGUCGGAAGUGUAAUCUUGGGGCUUAACCCUGAGCGUGCUUUCGAUACGGGUUGACUUGAGGAAGGUAGGGGAGAAUGGAAUUCCUGGUGGAGCGGUGGAAUGCGCAGAUAUCAGGAGGAACACCAGUGGCGAAGGCGGUUCUCUGGGCCUUUCCUGACGCUGAGGAGCGAAAGCGUGGGGAGCGAACAGGCUUAGAUACCCUGGUAGUCCACGCUGUAAACGGUGGGUACUAGGUGUGGGGUCCAUUCCACGGGUUCCGUGCCGUAGCUAACGCUUUAAGUACCCCGCCUGGGGAGUACGGCCGCAAGGCUAAAACUCAAAGGAAUUGACGGGGCCCCGCACAAGCGGCGGAGCAUGCGGAUUAAUUCGAUGCAACGCGUAGAACCUUACCUGGGUUUGACAUGGAUCGGGAGUGCUCAGAGAUGGGUGUGCCUCUUUUGGGGUCGGUUCACAGGUGGUGCAUGGCUGCCGUCAGCUCGUGUCGUGAGAUGUUGGGUUAAGUCCCGCAACGAGCGCAACCCUUGUUCACUGUUGCCAGCACGUUAUGGUGGGGACUCAGUGGAGACCGCCGGGGUCAACUCGGAGGAAGGUGGGGAUGACGUCAAGUCAUCAUGCCCCUUAUGUCCAGGGCUUCACGCAUGCUACAAUGGCUGGUACAGAGAGUGGCGAGCCUGUGAGGGUGAGCGAAUCUCGGAAAGCCGGUCUCAGCUCGGAUUGGGGUCUGCAACUCGACCUCAUGAAGUCGGAGUCGCUAGUAAUCGCAGAUCAGCAACGCUGCGGUGAAUACGUUCCCGGGGCU
RNAcentral lists this ribosomal RNA (1346 nucleotides) under uncultured bacterium. RNAcentral's name for it is "partial 16S ribosomal RNA". It matches the Rfam family "Bacterial small subunit ribosomal RNA", at positions 28 to 1381 of the family's 1533-position model. The record is from RNAcentral.